RNAcentral lists this ribosomal RNA (274 nucleotides) under uncultured bacterium. RNAcentral describes it as "partial 16S ribosomal RNA". It matches the Rfam family "Bacterial small subunit ribosomal RNA", at positions 523 to 796 of the family's 1533-position model. The record is from RNAcentral.
CUACGGAGGGGGUUAGCGUUGUUCGGAAUUACUGGGCGUAAAGCGUACGUAGGCGGACUGGAAAGUUGGGGGUGAAAUCCCGGGGCUCAACCCCGGAACUGCCUCCAAAACUUCCAAUCUAGAGAUCGAGAGAGGUGAGUGGAAUUCCAAGUGUAGAGGUGAAAUUCGUAGAUAUUUGGAGGAACACCAGUGGCGAAGGCGGCUCACUGGCUCGAUACUGACGCUGAGGUACGAAAGCGUGGGGAGCAAACAGGAUUAGAUACCCCAGUAGUCC